This 324-nucleotide unclassified non-coding RNA is filed under the name soil metagenome. Its description in RNAcentral is "partial contains 5.8S ribosomal RNA, internal transcribed spacer 2, and large subunit ribosomal RNA". The stretch from base 1 to 120 matches the Rfam family "5.8S ribosomal RNA", at positions 35 to 154 of the family's 154-position model. The record is from RNAcentral.
GAUGAAGAACGCAGCGAAAUGCGAUAAGUAAUGUGAAUUGCAGAAUUCAGUGAAUCAUCGAAUCUUUGAACGCACAUUGCGCCCCUUGGUAUUCCGAGGGGCAUGCCUGUUCGAGCGUCAUAUUAACCACUCCCGCUUGCGGGGUCUUGGGCUUCGCCUCCGGGCGGGCCUUAAAAUCAGUGGCGGUGCCGUCGGGCUCUACGCGUAGUAAAUUUUCUCGCGAUAGGGUCCCGGUGGAUGCUUGCCAACAACCCCCAACUUCUUAAGGUUGACCUCGGAUCAGGUAGGGAUACCCGCUGAACUUAAGCAUAUCAAUAAGCGGGA